Molecule: ribosomal RNA, 253 nt
Filed under: uncultured bacterium
Lineage: Bacteria
Description: partial 16S ribosomal RNA
Rfam family: Bacterial small subunit ribosomal RNA
Source: RNAcentral
UACAGAGACUGCAAGCGUUAUUCGGAUUCACUGGGCGUAAAGGGUGCGCAGGCGGCCAAGUGUGUCAGGUGUGAAAUCCCGGGGCUUAACUCCGGAACUGCGCCUGAAACUACUUGGCUAGAGCAUUGGAGAGGGAAGUGGAAUUCACGGUGUAGCAGUGAAAUGCGUAGAUAUCGUGAGGAACACCAGAGGCGAAGGCGACUUCCUGGACAAUUGCUGACGCUCAGGCCCGAAAGCGUGGGGAGCCAAAGGG